GCCAACCUAGCUCAAUGGUAGAGCAACCGCCUUGUAAGCGGUAGGUUGUGGGUUCGAUUCCCACGGUUGGCU
RNAcentral lists this transfer RNA (72 nucleotides) under Candidatus Buchananbacteria bacterium RIFCSPHIGHO2_01_FULL_40_35. RNAcentral's name for it is "tRNA-Thr". It matches the Rfam family "tRNA". From Rfam's summary of the family: Transfer RNA (tRNA) molecules are approximately 80 nucleotides in length. Their secondary structure includes four short double-helical elements and three loops (D, anti-codon, and T loops). Further hydrogen bonds mediate the characteristic L-shaped molecular structure. tRNAs have two regions of fundamental functional importance: the anti-codon, which is responsible for specific mRNA codon recognition, and the 3' end, to which the tRNAs corresponding amino acid is attached (by aminoacyl-tRNA synthetases). tRNAs cope with the degeneracy of the genetic code in two manners: having more than one tRNA (with a specific anti-codon) for a particular amino acid; and 'wobble' base-pairing, i.e. permitting non-standard base-pairing at the 3rd anti-codon position. RNAcentral also lists the same sequence under 1 other name. Lineage: Bacteria; Candidatus Buchananiibacteriota. The record is from RNAcentral.